CGUAUCAGAACGGACCUACAGAAAGUUUCUGGCCUGUCUGCCCCAUUCUCCCAGAGCGCUGGGGUGGAUCAAAAGGAACUGUCCUUCAGCCCAUCCUUAUUGAAGAUCUUCUGCCAACUAUUCUCCAUUCAUGUAGAUGCUAUAAACAUCAUGGUUCUCAAGGUGGAUACCUCUGAGUCCUUAUGGCAUAUUCAGAUCAGUAGAAGCAGAUUUCUUUUGGAUAGUGAUGGGAAAAGGCUAAUCUGUGAGGUGAGCUUAUGUAAGAUCAACAGCAAAGUUCUAAAGAGUGGUCAGCUGGUAAGUAUGCCAUGAUCAUUCAGAUGCCUCAUUUCCUCCUGGGCAUAAAGUGUGAAGGAGCUUAGGGCUUACAUCCUAGGUUCUGUGGCCUUAGGGGGUUCCCUCAAGUCAGUACCCAGUGUUCCAGAUCACCACAUUUUGACCUAAAACUUCCAAACUUUCUUACAUACACCUUAGAGGCUUAUCAUCCCCACAGGAGGACACUUGCCUAG
Molecule: small RNA, 509 nt
Filed under: Pongo abelii (Sumatran orangutan)
Lineage: Eukaryota; Metazoa; Chordata; Mammalia; Primates; Hominidae
Description: retained intron
Source: RNAcentral